This 446-nucleotide ribosomal RNA is filed under the name uncultured bacterium. RNAcentral's name for it is "partial 16S ribosomal RNA". It matches the Rfam family "Bacterial small subunit ribosomal RNA", at positions 355 to 794 of the family's 1533-position model. The record is from RNAcentral.
UAGGGAAUCUUCCACAAUGGACGCAAGUCUGAUGGAGCAACGCCGCGUGAGUGAAGAAGGUUUUCGGACCGUAAAGCUCUGUUGUUGGUGAAGAAGGAUAGAGGUAGUAACUGGCCUUUAUUUGACGGUAAUCAACCAGAAAGUCACGGCUAACUACGUGCCAGCAGCCGCGGUAAUCGUAGGUGGCAAGCGUUGUCCGGAUUUAUUGGGCGUAAAGCGAGCGCAGGCGGAAGAAUAAGUCUGAUGUGAAAGCCCUCGGCUUAACCGAGGAAUUGCAUCGGAAACUGUUUUCUUGAGUGCAGAAGAGGAGAGUAGAACUCCAUGUGUAGCGGUGGAAUGCGUAGAUAUAUGGAAGAAUACCAGUGGCGAAGGCGGCUCUCUGGUCUGCAACUGACGCUGAGGCUCGAAAGCAUGGGUAGCGAACAGGAUUAGAUACCCUUGGUAGU